GUCUUUGUAGUAUAAUAAUUACCUUGGUCUUGUAAACCAAAAACGGAGAAUUAAAUAACUCCCCAAGACU
Molecule: transfer RNA, 70 nt
Filed under: Procyon lotor (raccoon)
Lineage: Eukaryota; Metazoa; Chordata; Mammalia; Carnivora; Procyonidae
Description: transfer RNA-Thr
Source: RNAcentral